UUUCUUCAUUUUGAGUCUUUGAU
RNAcentral lists this small RNA (23 nucleotides) under Arabidopsis thaliana (thale cress). RNAcentral describes it as "ATSL132840". The record is from RNAcentral. Lineage: Eukaryota; Viridiplantae; Streptophyta; Magnoliopsida; Brassicales; Brassicaceae.